UAAAUACAUUCGCCGGGAAAAAAAGAAAAGUGGAGGCCUGCAGUUAGCACCAUCUCCAGAGGAAAGAACAACUGCCACUGAAGAAGACGUGAAGACGACAUGGGACGGUGGGAGAUGAUCAGAGUAGAUAUGGUUUCAUCAGAUAUUCACCCCUCUCUCGAUUUACCAUUCAUAUAAAAGGAGAAAAGAAACACGGAGAGAGGAGUAGAGCAAAAUCAAACUGAUAAAGAGAAAAAAUUUAGUAUCAAAAUCGGUGAUUGCAGAUUCACCUAAGUUUUUCAGGUAUCUUCAUCUUUUCUGCGCAGCGUGAAAGCAAGUAUUCAUGUUCUCAUUAUCUUCAUAUUUCUGCUGUAUGCGGUGAAGUUAACCGAAUGAAAAUGAAGUCCGUAUUACUGCAGGAGCAGGAGCAUCCCAAUUGCUCGGUCGUAGGGUCGCACCUCAGAUUCCCAUCGCUCUCAAACUGAGCACCGCCACCGAUAAAGCGCCUUUUGAUUUCAGGUACCUCUUCAUCGCAUUUAUAAACUAGGAAAGGACUGAAACAAUGACAACUGUAGAAUCCGUUAAAUGUAAUGGAUAUACAUAUCGUCAUGUUAGUAAGUUGAUGAAAGUGGUAGAGAUUUGCUUCUCAUAUAUCCAUUACCUUGAACAGUGGUAGAGAUUUGCUUAUCGUCAUCUUAGACUAUAUAUCAUAUGGUCUAAUAUAUCUAUAUCACAAAGACAGGCUUCCAGGUUCAAUAUUAAGAUAUGAGCAGUAAAUUGUUUUUGCUUUAAUUUUUACCAAAUUAGGAACUAACAUAUAAGCAGCAAACUCUUUUCCACUUGCUUUGAAUCAUGCUUUUAAGGCCUCUGUAUGUUGUUAUUGUUACACUAGGAAGAGUGGGAAUUGGUUGUCUAUCUUCUUUAAAAUAUCCUUUGUUUGAUUUUAGACUACCUAAAACACUUGGAAAGGGUAUAUUAUCCAUUAUCUUGAACAGUGGAGCCACCAAAGUUUAAUUAAGGCAUUCAGCAGUGGUUAAUUAUAAUAGCUUAGUUUUCUUUUCCUCUAUCAUAUGGUUCCUUUUCAGUUUUGUUCUCAUUUUAUCAAUUCUGGUAAUUGGUAGUGUUAGACAUAGUUUCCAUUCAAUCUAUUAUAUUACUUUGAUUGAUUGUUUUAUGGGGUGAGUGUUGAAUGUUUUAUUUCGUUUUCAGUUUAGAUUUGGUAUUAUAUUCUUUUCAUCUUAUAGGAAUCUUAUAUUAUGGAUGGUGGAAGCGUCUUGAUCCAUGUAAUCUGGCUUCCAAUCCUCUAGAAUAAAAUAAAUACCUGAAUGCACCGUGUAAUUGACAUUAAUUAAUGUAGUGAAUAUAUAGGUAUUAACUAUUCAUCAACCGGUUUCAGUUCACGUCUAAGUAUUCUUUGUAUUCUGUACCACUGCCUGGUGCGAUUAUAUUAAGAAUUUGGACUAAGCAAGUGGAGAACUGGGUCAGUGUUAUGGUCUACCAUUGGUUGCUAAGGAACUCGCAGGAAUCAUUCCCAAACUCAUUUGUGAAUUAAGAGUAUUCUUCUCAACUUUUGCUAAAUGUAUUCUUCUUUUUUGCUAAAUGUAUUCUUCUUUGGUUUUUGCUUCCUUUUGUUUUCUGUUUUUUUUUUUCUUUAUGGUUUGAUGACUGUCAUAUAUGUUUGUGGUUUCUUUUUCCAAUUGAUCUCUAUUUCUGAACAAAUCCUGAUACAGUAUAUCGAAAAGGGAAACGCAGCCCAACGAGAGGAAAGGAAAUCCUUCCUCGGUCUGCAAAUUCGAGUAUAAGAUUUUCGAAAAGAUGAUUGUUGAUUGGUUUUUACUUCCUGUUGUUUUUUUUUUUUUUUUCUGAGUUUUGCUGGUAUCUUGAAGCGAUGAUUAAUUCUUUUAAUCCAGUUAACUUUUGCUAUUCAUUUUCUUCUCCUUUUCCAUCGAAUACAAUUGUAUUUUCCUUUUCAUGUCAUCAUGAUUAUGAUUUCCAUUGGUUUGAUUCAUUUUUUCUUUUGAAGCUAUAAUUUCUGUUCAAGGAGCUCCAGAGUUUAGUAUGGCACUCAUUUGAUCAUUGCUCGGAACAUUUCCACAUGACAAUUUUACCAGAAUUAAAAUCUAUUGUGUCUUGCAACUUGCAAGUUAUGCUAAUCAAUUUCCAGGUAACAUAAUAGUUGCUAGGGGGAGAGGAGAGGGAGAGAUUUAACUGGUUAUAUGCUUCUGUGUUAGUGGCAGAUCAAUCAUGGAGUUUGGGUGAUGAACUAAAAUAACUAAAACUAUCAGAUUCCCCGGCAUGUAAGGGUUUUGGGAUCUGGUGAACUUUAAGCACAAACAUCCUCUUGUUCAUUCACAUGGACCUCUUGUUCUUUUGCAAUUUGGAUCUUUAGUUCUAUGCUUUAACUAUGUACCUAGUGAAACUUCUUUAAUUAGUAGCAAAACUACAUUUUCCAUUAUACGACAGCUAAGUACUUUAUAUAUUAGUUUCUUUCACUUUUGCAAAGUUCACUCAAGAAAUUUCAACCGCGAAAGCAUUGUAAAUGUGAUUACUUGAAGUAGUUCUUUAUUAAUAUAUUGCAAUUUUAUUUUAAUUUCA
This is a long non-coding RNA of Rosa rugosa (rugosa rose), 2574 nucleotides long. RefSeq lists it as uncharacterized. The record is from RefSeq and is a predicted model, not a curated record. The transcript is spliced from 4 exons. NCBI's taxonomy places the organism in Eukaryota, Viridiplantae, Streptophyta, Magnoliopsida, Rosales, Rosaceae.